UGGGGAAUUUUGGACAAUGGGGGAAACCCUGAUCCAGCCAUCCCGCGUGUGCGAUGAAGGCCUUCGGGUUGUAAAGCACUUUUGGCAGGAAAGAAACGUCGCGGGUUAAUACCCCGCGAAACUGACGGUACCUGCAGAAUAAGCACCGGCUAACUACGUGCCAGCAGCCGCGGUAAUACGUAGGGUGCAAGCGUUAAUCGGAAUUACUGGGCGUAAAGCGUGCGCAGGCGGUUCGGAAAGAAAGAUGUGAAAUCCCAGAGCUUAACUUUGGAACUGCAUUUUUAACUACCGGGCUAGAGUGUGUCAGAGGGAGGUGGAAUUCCGCGUGUAGCAGUGAAAUGCGUAGAUAUGCGGAGGAACACCGAUGGCGAAGGCAGCCUCCUGGGAUAACACUGACGCUCAUGCACGAAAGCGUGGGGAGCAAACAGGAUUAGAUACCCUGGUAGUCCACGCCCUAAANGAUGUCAACUAGCUGUUGGGGCCUUCGGGCCUUGGUAGCGCAGCUAACGCGU
Molecule: ribosomal RNA, 512 nt
Filed under: uncultured bacterium
Lineage: Bacteria
Description: partial 16S ribosomal RNA
Rfam family: Bacterial small subunit ribosomal RNA
Source: RNAcentral